CACCUCACUGUGUGUUCACUGUGUGCUGAGUGUGUUUCACUAAUUCACGGAUUGGGAUAAAUGCAGAGACUGAACAAAAGACUGAAAAAAGUAUAUACUUAUACUUAUAGUUAGCUCAGCACAGUUAGCUCCGCACAGUUUCCGUGUUGUUUUAGCGCAAAUAUAGAACACAGAUUUGUCUGUUUUGCAUGGCUGUGUGUGUGUGUGCGCAUAAUGUUUCUGCAUGGCUGUGUGUGUGUGUGUGUGUCUCUCCUGCUUCAUUGUGUGUGUGUGUGGCAUGGUUGCCGCUUGCUUGUUUUCAUGUAAAAGUGGCCUGAGGUGAUGACGUGGUGACUACACACUCCAGUUCAGCAGCUCUCUGUGUGUGUGUGUGUGUGUGUGUGUGUGAGACGUGGUGACUACACAAUCCAGUUCAGCAGCUCUCUGUGUGUGUGUGUGUGUGUGUGUGUGUGUGUGUGUGUGUGUGUGUGUGACGUGGUGACUACACGCUCCAUCUGUGUGGGUGAUUUGAUUACAGCAAACAGUUAUAGUGUGCACAUCCCACCUUCUGGCAGGUGCAGACAGGUGCAGGACAAAAGAAAACUAUACUCAAUUGAUAAAAUAUAAUGUCCACAACACUGCUUUUGACUCCCAAUUAUUUAAUGCAACGUUUCAACCCUGCUGGGUCUUCUUCUGCCUGAAGAUUGACGUGAUUUUCAAUUGACGUGAUUACACACACCCUCUUUCUCCCCGUGUAUGACUGAGUGUGUGUGUGUGUGUGUGUGUGUGUGUGUGUGACGGAGAGAGAAGCUCUCUCUUCUCCACACUGUACACAUUCCAGAGAAAAUGUGCAUUCAGGAGCCACGAGCACACUCCUCUAAAGCCUAAUUCUGCUUCUGCGCGGAGUCUGCGGGCGCUAACAGCUAACAGCGCCACGCUGGCCCCUCCACACAGGUGGACACCCAUGAGCACUCACUGGGGCAGGCAGCUCAGGCUACACAGGCAGCUCAGGCUACACAGGCAGCUCAGGCUACACAGGUGGGGCA
Alosa sapidissima (American shad) is the source of this 1025-nucleotide long non-coding RNA. RefSeq lists it as uncharacterized. The record is from RefSeq and is a predicted model, not a curated record. The transcript has 3 exons. NCBI's taxonomy places the organism in Eukaryota, Metazoa, Chordata, Actinopteri, Clupeiformes, Clupeidae.